UAUUAAAAACUCUACUGCACUUGAGAUUCGAACCCACGACCAUUGACUUGCUAGUCGAGAUUCCUCGCCUGCGGCUACUCAGGCAGAUUGGGCUACUUUUAGAUUACGAAGGAAUGUAGAAUGUAAUCACACCUCUAAAAGCUAACUUUCGUUUAUGACUAAAUCGAUAAUUGAUAAACGUUUUUGUUGUGGUCACGUAAAGCUUUCAUGUCGUUUUCGUUGCUAUCACCCAUGUGGAAAUGAAAAAGUAGUAAAGAGAAGCAAAUUUUUGUUUAUAUUUGUUUGUGGUUUCCAAAAUCCAAAAUCGUUAAAAUAAACAACAAAUCAAAUAUUGAUGAAGUAGCGACUCUCUUUCAACUAAACGGUGGCGUGAACAAUUAAAGAGAUUCGCAAGUUGGCUGAGAAGGAAAUGGUCACUUAGCUUACCAUCAGCGAAGUAGCGCGUGUAAUGUAUGUAUCGGUAAAAUUUGUGGCAGUGAUGCUAAGCGGGAUAUAUUGGAUGCUGCUAACGAAGAAAUAUAUCCAAUUGCCUACAGGAGAGAGCUCCUAAAGAAGAUAGUUUUUGGUACGCCAAAGUCAGCCAGCAUUGGAUAAAUAAUUGCCCAAAAUUUGCGUUUAUGUCUGCCAAAUGGCCAUAGCAUUUCCACACUGGUGCAGUUAAAUGUCGCAGAUUUUCAUCUAGGACAAAUAAGUCCGAUUACUCAAAUAAUAAAAGCUUUAAGCCAAUUGCACAACAACAAAGAUACAAAUCUAUGGAGCGUUAUAGUAAGAUGGAAUGUUGAAUCUAUCACAGUUGAGAAGUAAUCCUAACUUUGCUGAUGUGGUGGUAAAUCUGGGCAAUAGUGGUGUUCUGGAGCGUAUCUGUAACUUGAUUUAUUCCAACGAUGUGAAAUUUCGCAAUGUCAACGGCAUAUUGAUGAAAACUAAUGGUAUGAAGACCAUUAAAACAAUUUACAGGAGUAGAAUUCGCUAUACUGAAUUUAAGAGAUAAUAAGGUAAAAUAGUCUUAAGGAAAUAGAAACAGAGAUAAAAGUGUGCUGCUAAACUUUAGCAUACUAAUUUCAUGCUCGCGAUUUUUUUUUAAUAUAUCGUUCAAGAGUAUAUGAGCCUUAUGGCCGAAUUGGGUGAAGGUCUACCUCCAUCAGCUCAAUCGAAACAAAAUGCUGAUCCUAUGUUUCAAGUACAUAUCAAUAGAGGUUACAACAUUUUUGGUAAGAAACCGUCUGCUAUGCCAGCUAUACAAGCACGAGUACCGAGUCCCGCCCACGACAGUACCGGAUUUGGCGGGUGCUCCACCAACACCAUGCCACCCAGUUGGGGUGCCUCUAACGGAGCUCCUGCUGUGCGGAUGCCGCCAUUAAUACCACCACUACCCGGCACGGCACCAUUGUCAAUAUGGCCAGCGGCUACUAACAUAAUACCAAGUUUCCCGACUUGGGAACCAGCACCAGGUGCUUAUCCGCCCCCUCCUCCGCCACCUUGCGUACCUCUACCAACAAAAAUUAGAGGGCUCGCUCAAUCCUCUCCUCUACCUUCUCCAGCUAAUUAAAAACUUUCGAUACUAUUUCGUAAUUAAAACAUUUGGUUGAAAUAACCAACAAACUAUAAGGCUCCCAUAUGUACUUGUAGCUGUCAAAUUCUCCCGUCUCAACAUUUCUUUUCGCAUAUUACUUUGUUAUAUUAUAAUUUGGUAAACAUAAAUCGAAGUAAUGUAUUGUAUAUACAAACUUGUAUCUUAGCUCAUACAAUUUUUACAAUUCUUCCUCGUGCUCAUACAAUUUUUACAAUUCUUCCUCUUGCUCAUACAAUUUUUACGAUUCUUCCUCUUGCUGUCCAUCUCAACUAAAUCGAAGAAAGCAGUCACCUAUUGCUGCAAAAAUAUCGUAUAUAAAUUAAGGAAUUUAUUGAAACAGUUUCAACAAAACAAACUCGCAUAAUAUAUUUAAAACAUUCGGUCUAAACGAAAAAUUUCUUAAGGUUUCAGAUCAUUGCUUUAAAUAUCAAACUAAAUUUAAAAGUUUUACCUCUUUGUCUUCGUCAGGUGUAACAUUGGGAUUUGUCAAUAUUAUUUUAACAGAGUCGCUGGCGAAAAUCGCAGCCCAUUAUGCAGUCGAGUGUACGUUUCGCACAGACUACGAUUUGCUUUCAAGGCAUGUUACAAUUACAGGGCAGUGUGAAGGUUACCAUAUGACGUGUUAUCAUGUUACGUAGGAAAAUACAAUAAACGUUGCUUACCAAUAUAUUCCGUACAAAUCAAAUACAAUUUCUUUCGUGUUAAAUUUGUUUAAAGGAAUAGUUGAAAUGUUUACAAACCUGUUAGUUCAAGGUCAUGUAAAUAUAAAAGCGGUUUUUAACGAAUAUAAAAUCGAAGAUAAUUACAUACGCAAUCGUGAUGAUAGUUUUUUGUAAACAGUAAAGCACAUGUGUUAGUUGCAUUAGUUACACACAGGGUCUCACAAAAUUCACGCAAGAUAGUGUUGAGUAGUAACUAAAGUAAGUAAGAUAAUGUUGAGUAGUAACUAAACAGACAGGGUCAAUUGAUAAUUUUGCCCUCUCUGGUCUUGCAACACCAAGUGUUGUUGGGAAUCCAGGGGCAUGACUUCUGCAUUGUGGUCAAGAGUUGAACGUUUAGAGAAGCUCCCUACAUCGAAUUCUAACGAACGAUUUGCAUCCCAUGUUUACGAAGUUCAAUUCAUUCAAGAAUUGAUGCCUACUGACCAUGCACAGCCAUUGGAAAUCGAUGAAUGGACUGUAUCGCAUCGCCCAAUAACUAUUCGGUCUGACGCACAAAACUGGAUCCAUAAUUUUUGGAUGGCACCAAUCUUCAAACGAUGCUUUUCAAGAUUGCAUUAAAUUCUGAAAAUUAAUUUAUAAUUUACAGUUGUUCCCAUGCCGCUGAUUGUUUGGACUUUUUUAGCAGCUUUCGGCUGUCUCUGUCCAAUCGGCAGAUUGAACUUUGGAACUUAGUGAUGAACCCGUGUUUCACACAUUGUCAUAUAACGCAUUGAAAUAACGUGUUUAUAGCGCUUACAGCGCUAUGUAUCAUCGACAUGAUGUUGUCAAAGGUAAAAAAAUACCACUUUACACAGAGUUUUCUAAUGGACAAAAGUUUAUGCCAAAUAGUAAAUACACUGCCUUCUGAUAUGUUUAAGAUGUUAGCUUUUGGCUUUCGAAAAUAAUUUUCCGCUACUUUUUUAUGUCUUCCGGAAUAAUUGCCGAAUUUUGGGCGUAUAAAGCGGUCACCAUCAACGGUAUCCAUGGGACUGUGUUUAAAAUUGUCAAGCCAUUUAGAAGUUCAUUUUUCGACGUGGGUCGCCAUAACAUUUUCCACAUCCACGCUUAUAAGCAAAAGCAGCUUUACUAAAAUAACUUUAAACUAAAACUCGCAAACUAAUGGUCUCAACAUCUUCAAAUGUGACUGAGUAUCCUUUGAAGCUGAUGCUAUUCAGAAAUGAUGUGUAAGGGAAUUUAGUCUGUGAUGUUCUAGCACAGUACGAGGAUGCUGAUGAAUACGUAUAUGCUAGCAUGGGUUUUCAUGAUCAUUUGUAAGACAUGUUCCUCCGUACAUAAACCCUUACGGUAUACUUUAUGAAUCGUUAAAAUAUUCACGAAUUUU
Long non-coding RNA from Glossina fuscipes, 3616 nucleotides. RefSeq lists it as uncharacterized. The record is from RefSeq and is a predicted model, not a curated record. The transcript is spliced from 4 exons. Lineage: Eukaryota; Metazoa; Arthropoda; Insecta; Diptera; Glossinidae.